Molecule: non-coding RNA, 784 nt
Organism: Odocoileus virginianus texanus
Lineage: Eukaryota; Metazoa; Chordata; Mammalia; Artiodactyla; Cervidae
Source: RefSeq, a predicted model, not a curated record
AGGGGAUCACCAGCUGGGGAGGGGGCUCCUGCUGGGGGCCACCUGGCUUAGGGCCGCCAUCGCCUUUCUUUCCCCAGGCGUCUAGCACGUUCUUCCGGGCACUGCCUUUUCUACCCCAGUUGUGAGGUUGAGAGUGGCCACAGAUCUCUUUCACAUCCUGCCCACCGCCUCACGGCCCGUGGAUCCCAGCCAGGUUUUUUUAAUCACUCGCAACCUGAAAGAUCCUGAGGAAUUCAGAAGGACAGAUACGAGUGGCCACGAGGAGCAGAAGCGGGAGGCUCUGCGGCGGCAGUCACAGGGGACUCUGCAGUUCCCAGCGACAUUUCUCUUUUCUGGGCCUUGCCUCAAGCUGCCUCCCUGCCGGAGUCCUUCCCUCCCUGCCUGGGCCACUCAGACCCCCGUCUCUGCCUGACCCGCGCCAUCCCAGCGGCACCCCUGCCACACCUCAGCCCCCGGGAGGGGUUGUCUCUGCAGUCCCGUCACAGUUCGCAGUUGUUUCCACAGAGAUGGGUGCUUCUCGCUGAGCUCAGAGCCAUGAAAUUAUUUAGGGAUAGCAAUGCUCAGGUAAAGGACUCCAGUCUCCAGCCUCCCUUUCUGGCUGAUAAAUUCACAGUACUCAGAUGUGAUGGCUGGAGCUCUAGCAGUCACUUUGGAGUAGGAGGCUGAGGGACGUAUCCUAGAUGGCUGCUUUGAAGAGGAAGGAGGCUGCACUGUGGAUGCACACCUUUGUGGAGCUCUUAUACCAGCCCAGGACACUUUUCACAGAGAAACAAAUAAAACUUCU